This 353-nucleotide ribosomal RNA is filed under the name uncultured Streptococcus sp. RNAcentral describes it as "bacterial SSU rRNA". It matches the Rfam family "Bacterial small subunit ribosomal RNA", at positions 1027 to 1382 of the family's 1533-position model. Lineage: Bacteria; Bacillati; Bacillota; Bacilli; Lactobacillales; Streptococcaceae. The record is from RNAcentral.
AUCGGUGACAGGUGGUGCAUGGUUGUCGUCAGCUCGUGUCGUGAGAUGUUGGUUAAGUCCCGCAACGAGCGCAACCCCUAUUGUUAGUUGCCAUCAUUCAGUUGGGCACUCUAGCGAGACUGCCGGUAAUAAACCGGAGGAAGGUGGGGAUGACGUCAAAUCAUCAUGCCCCUUAUGACCUGGGCUACACACGUGCUACAAUGGUUGGUACAACGAGUUGCGAGUCGGUGACGGCGAGCUAAUCUCUUAAAGCCAAUCUCAGUUCGGAUUGUGGGCUGCAACUCGCCUACAUGAAGUCGGAAUCGCUAGUAAUCGCGGAUCAGCACGCCGCGGUGAAUACGUUCCCGGGCCUU